UUAAUUUUGCAAUGAAAAUGUAAUGUUUUUUUUAAACUAUAUUAAUAGAAAUUUAAACAUUUUUUUUGCUU
RNAcentral lists this transfer RNA (71 nucleotides) under Scarelus saranganensis. RNAcentral's name for it is "tRNA-Glu". Lineage: Eukaryota; Metazoa; Arthropoda; Insecta; Coleoptera; Lycidae. The record is from RNAcentral.